GGGAGGUGUGAUCCUGUGCUUCCUGGGAGGUGUGAUAUUGUCUUCCUAGGAGGUGUGAUCCUGUGCUUCCU
Molecule: microRNA precursor, 71 nt
Filed under: Gorilla gorilla gorilla (western lowland gorilla)
Lineage: Eukaryota; Metazoa; Chordata; Mammalia; Primates; Hominidae
Description: mir-3689 microRNA precursor family
Rfam family: mir-3689 microRNA precursor family
Source: Rfam by way of RNAcentral